Non-coding RNA from Acanthosepion pharaonis, 114 nucleotides. The record is from the annotation of a GenBank genome assembly. Lineage: Eukaryota; Metazoa; Mollusca; Cephalopoda; Sepiida; Sepiidae.
UUACGGCCACAUUACGUUGAAAUCUCGGUUUCCGUAUGAUCACCGAAGUUAAGCAACGUCGAGCCUGGUCAGUACCUAGGUAGUUGACCGCUUGGCAAUACUGGAUACUGUAAG